AACGAACGCUGGCGGCAUGCCUAACACAUGCAAGUCGAACGAGACCUUCGGGUCUAGUGGCGCACGGGUGUGUAACGCGUGGGAACCUGCCCUUAGGUUCGGAAUAACUCCCCGAAAGGGGUGCUAAUACCGGAUAAUGUCUUCGGACCAAAGAUUUAUCGCCUUUGGAUGGGCCCGCGUUGGAUUAGCUAGUUGGUAGGGUAAAAGCCUACCAAGGCGACGAUCCAUAGCUGGUCUGAGAGGAUGAUCAGCCACACUGGGACUGAGACACGGCCCAGACUCCUACGGGAGGCAGCAGUGGGGAAUAUUGGACAAUGGGCGAAAGCCUGAUACAGCAAUGCCGCGUGAGUGAUGAAGGCCUUAGGGUUGUAAAGCUCUUUUACCCGGGAUGAUAAUGACAGUACCGGGAGAAUAAGCUCCGGCUAACUCCGUG
RNAcentral lists this ribosomal RNA (433 nucleotides) under uncultured bacterium. Its description in RNAcentral is "partial 16S ribosomal RNA". It matches the Rfam family "Bacterial small subunit ribosomal RNA", at positions 29 to 507 of the family's 1533-position model. The record is from RNAcentral.